AGAACCUGAAACCGUAUGUCUACAAGCAGUCGGAGCGCAAGCGACGGCGUGCCUAUUGAAGAAUGAGCCAACGAGUUACGGGCACCAGCGAGGUUAAGCAGGAAAUGCGGAGCCGUAGGGAAACCGAGUCUGAAAAGGGCGGAUAGUUGGUGUUCGUAGACCCGAAACUGUAGUGAUCUACCCAUGAUCAGGUUGAAGCACGGGUAAAAUCGUGUGGAGGACCGAACCGGUGAGUGUUGAAAAACUUUCGGAUGAAUCGUGGGUAGCGGUGAAAUUCCAAUCGAACGCAGAGAUAGCUGGUUCUCCUCGAAAUAGCUUUAGGGCUAGCCUCAGGCAGUAAGCAUAGGCGGUAGAGCACUGAUCGGGAUAGGGACUGUAAUGGUUACCGAACCCUGUCAAACUACGAAUGGUUAUGCUGCAGAGCCUGGGAGUCAGACUACGAGAGAUAAGUCCCGUUGUCAAAAGGGAAACAGCCCAGACCAUCAGCUAAGGUCCCCAAUGCCAUACUAAGUGGAAAAGGAUGUGGGGUCUCAUAAACAACCAGGAUGUUGGCUCAGAAGCAGCCACCAUUUAAAGAGUGCGUAAUAGCUCACUGGUCGAGAGGCCCUGCGCCGAAGAUUCCCGGGGCUAAAGUAUGGAACCGAAGCUAUGGAUGCAUACGUAAGUAUGCGUGGUAGAGGAGCGUUCCCAUCGGGUUGAAGUCGUCCUGUAAGGGAUGGUGGACUGGUGGGAAGUGAGAAUGUUGGCAUGAGUAGCGAAAAGAAUGGUGAGAAUCCAUUCCACCGAAAGCAUAAGGAUUCCUGAGCAACGAUCGUCGUCUCAGGGUAAGUCGGGACCUAAUCCGAGGCAAAGAGCGUAGGAGAUGGACAACUGGUUGAUAUUCCAGUACCGGCAGUGAUCGUUUGAACGAAGGAGUGACGCAGGAAGGCAGGUCCGCACGAGAUUGGUAGAUCGUGUGCAAGCGUGUAGGCUGGUUACCAGGCAAAUCCGGUAACUGAGGCUGAGGCGUGAUGCGGAGGGAACUUGUUCCCGAAGGGAUUGAGCCUACGCUGCCGAGAAAAGCUUCUAGUGAGAAAGCUGCCGCCCGUACCGUAAACCGACACAGGUAUGCGGGGAGAGAAUCCUAAGGUGCGCGGGAGAACCCUCGUUAAGGAACUCGGCAAAAUGUACCCGUAACUUCGGGAUAAGGGUAGCCACAAAGGUGAAGGGACUUGCUCCCGGAGCCCGGUGUGGUCGCAGAGAAGAGGCCCAAGCGACUGUUAACCAGAAACACAGGUGCCUGCGAAAGAGAAAUCUGAAGUAUAGGUGCUGACACCUGCCCAGUGCUGGAAGGUUAAAGAAGGAUGUCCGGGUUCGACCCAAAGCAUUCGACUGAAGCCCCAGUGAACGGCGGCCGUAACUAUAACGGUCCUAAGGUAGCGAAAUUCCUUGUCGGGUAAGUUCCGACCCGCACGAAAGGUGUAACGACUUGGGCACUGUCUCAACGAGGGACCCGGUGAAAUUGAAAUACCUGUGAAGAUGCAGGUUACCCGCGACUGGACAGAAAGACCCCAUGGAGCUUUACUGUAACCUAAUAUUGGGUUCUGAUACUUGAUGCACAGGAUAGGUGGGAGGCACGGAUGGCAGUCCUCUGGGAUUGCCGGAGCCACUGUUGGGAUACCACCCUUCAAUUAUCGGGAUUCUAACCGAGCGAGUAACGAUCGCCGGGACAGUGUUAGGCGGGCAGUUUGACUGGGGCGGUCGCCUCCCAAAGAGUAACGGAGGCGCCCAAAGGUUCCCUCAGCGCGGACGGAAACCGCGCGCGGAGUGUAAAGGCAGAAGGGAGCUUGACUGCGAGCCAAACACGGCGAGCAGGUACGAAAGUAGGGCUUAGUGAUCCGGUGGCAUCCAAGUGGAAGGGCCAUCGCUCAACGGAUAAAAGCUACCCUGGGGAUAACAGGCUAAUCUCUCCCAAGAGUCCAUAUCGACGGGGAGGUUUGGCACCUCGAUGUCGGCUCA
Molecule: ribosomal RNA, 1998 nt
Filed under: human gut metagenome
Description: bacterial LSU rRNA
Rfam family: Bacterial large subunit ribosomal RNA
Source: RNAcentral